UGGGGAAUAUUGCACAAUGGGCGCAAGCCUGAUGCAGCCAUGCCGCGUGUGUGAAGAAGGCCUUCGGGUUGUAAAGCACUUUCAGCGAGGAGGAAGGUGGUGAGCUUAAUACGCUCAUCAAUUGACGUUACUCGCAGAAGAAGCACCGGCUAACUCCGUGCCAGCAGCCGCGGUAAUACGGAGGGUGCAAGCGUUAAUCGGAAUUACUGGGCGUAAAGCGCACGCAGGCGGUUUGUUAAGUCAGAUGUGAAAUCCCCGGGCUCAACCUGGGAACUGCAUUUGAAACUGGCAAGCUAGAGUCUCGUAGAGGGGGGUAGAAUUCCAGGUGUAGCGGUGAAAUGCGUAGAGAUCUGGAGGAAUACCGGUGGCGAAGGCGGCCCCCCUGGACGAAGACUGACGCUCAGGUGCGAAAAGCGUGGGGCAGCAAACAGAUUANGAUACCCUGGUAGUCCACGCUGUAAAACGA
RNAcentral lists this ribosomal RNA (466 nucleotides) under uncultured bacterium. RNAcentral describes it as "partial 16S ribosomal RNA". It matches the Rfam family "Bacterial small subunit ribosomal RNA", at positions 355 to 809 of the family's 1533-position model. The record is from RNAcentral.